Molecule: ribosomal RNA, 739 nt
Filed under: uncultured Alteromonadaceae bacterium
Lineage: Bacteria; Pseudomonadati; Pseudomonadota; Gammaproteobacteria; Alteromonadales; Alteromonadaceae
Description: bacterial SSU rRNA
Rfam family: Bacterial small subunit ribosomal RNA
Source: RNAcentral
GAUGCAGCCAUGCCGCGUGUGUGAAGAAGGCCUUCGGGUUGUAAAGCACUUUCAGUUGUGAGGAAAAGUUAGUAGUUAAUACCUGCUAGCCGUGACGUUAACAACAGAAGAAGCACCGGCUAACUCCGUGCCAGCAGCCGCGGUAAUACGGAGGGUGCGAGCGUUAAUCGGAAUUACUGGGCGUAAAGCGCACGCAGGCGGUUUGUUAAGCUAGAUGUGAAAGCCCCGGGCUCAACCUGGGAUGGUCAUUUAGAACUGGCAGACUAGAGUCUUGGAGAGGGGAGUGGAAUUCCAGGUGUAGCGGUGAAAUGCGUAGAUAUCUGGAGGAACAUCAGUGGCGAAGGCGACUCCCUGGCCAAAGACUGACGCUCAUGUGCGAAAGUGUGGGUAGCGAACAGGGUUAGAUACCCUGGUAGUCCACACCGUAAACGCUGUCUACUAGCUGUUUGUGACUUUAAGCCGUGAGUAGCGAAGCUAACGCGAUAAGUAGACCGCCUGGGGAGUACGGCCGCAAGGUUAAAACUCAAAUGAAUUGACGGGGGCCCGCACAAGCGGUGGAGCAUGUGGUUUAAUUCGAUGCAACGCGAAGAACCUUACCUACACUUGACAUGCAGAGAACUUUCCAGAGAUGGAUUGGUGCCUUCGGGAACUCUGACACAGGUGCUGCAUGGCUGUCGUCAGCUCGUGUCGUGGGAUGUUGGGUUAAGUCCCGCAACGAGCGCAACCCUUGUCCUUAGUU